RNAcentral lists this long non-coding RNA (408 nucleotides) under Micromonas commoda. RNAcentral describes it as "long non-coding RNA (MCOM_LNC000465)". Lineage: Eukaryota; Viridiplantae; Chlorophyta; Mamiellophyceae; Mamiellales; Mamiellaceae. The record is from RNAcentral.
GAGCGGCGUUGGACGCGGUGGCGCCGUACAGGAGGAGCGACGGGGUUGGUCACGGGGACGGGGUCGCCGCGUUUCGCGCGCUGGAGGUGGAGGUCAAGAGACGUCCCCGCGUUUGGGACUGCGGUUGCCGUAAGUGCGCCGCGAACGGGUGGGUUUGACGGUUUUUUGGGUUUAAUAAGAGUUGCAAGCGAUUACUUCCAUCGUUCAAGUCGUCGACUAAUCGGCUCUCGUCCCGCACUCACUGGUUACGCUCGCGCAGGCGACGUUCGAAAUCCUCCGCCUCGUAGUCCGCCGCGCUCUUACCGGACGAGAACACCCCGCUUCCCUCCGUCACCGUCCGCCGCCCCGUCGCCAUCCUUCGCGCCGCGUCCAUCUUCUCCUUGAGCAACUUACCCGGCCGAGCGAUCU